ACAUAACCAUUUUUAUGAUUUUAUGCUGUUGCAAUAGUAUUUGUACGUGUCUAUUUUCAAUUUUGCCAGUUUGCUUUUGCAUACAGCCGCACUGCUGAGGUGUUGGGGAAAAAAAUAAAAAAUAUUCUCGAAGCUGCUGAAACGAAUCGACAUUCCAACGAAUCAUCUGGUCCUCGCGGUCAGGAUGCGCUUCUUCCGACGACGUGUGCCGGAGUUCGUAUGGAUGCCGGCAUCAAAUCCCAUUGACGGCGGAUGCGGUCAAUUUGCCAUCGCUGGAUUUAAAAUGCGGAUUCAAAUAAACCGUAGGGAUGUGUUGCUGCUGCUGCUGAUCAAGCUGCCGAUGAUGUUGAUCGCGUGAGUGCUGUUUAUAAAAAUUCAUGAAGACCGUGAACAGAGGCCGUGAUGAUGCCUGCCUCCGGAAUGCAUGUGUUGCAGCGUUCUGGAAGUUGGAAAGUCCUUCAACAACAGAUACCGACAAUUAGAUGCCGGCAUAAACUAAAAUUAACCGGAUGAGUCAACCAGAUCAUUCUACCCGUGCUAAAAAGGAAUUUUAAUAUCAUGGAGUAUAUUCCAGCGCCGGAAAGAUAGACAGGACGAUACCUAUUUUAAAAGCAAAGUAAUACGAUGAGCGUUUGGAUGCGAAUGGAAUACGUAAAUGAUUAACUUCACACCGAUUUAGUAUAGGAAUCCUGGAUUUCCCGAAUAAGAAUCCACUCCAUCAAAUUGUAAUUUGAAACAAUAGCGUAAUAAAGCCCCCCACGCAAUGCAGCGGAACGGCAACGAAAACGGCAAGAUUUGACAGUUAGUCCAUAUAUUUUCUGUCAAAUUUGCCGUUUCCGUCGCCGUUCCGCUACUAUUGCGUUUGGGGCUUAAAUGAGCUGAGUUAGAUCUCAACUCAAUUUAUUUAUUUUUUUAUAAUUUUUUAAUUUAAUUUAAUCAGACCCGUUGAUUGAAAUUUUAUCGGCGGUGGCGUGUUAGAUCGUUUUCAGCCAGCGGCAACGGCGUGAUGGUGUCACACCGUUCACACUUAAAUCAUUUCACAGAUUUCGGUGAAGUUUGCUUCAGUUCACCGGAAUCUCAACAGCUGAAUUGUUCGGUAAUUAUUUCACCGACUUCCUGCGAUGAUUGGUAAUCGACGACAGCGGUGUGGGGCCACGUACAUUCAUUUCAUGCACUAAAACUUCACCGUUUCUCCAGGAAUUCCUCCGAUAGUUCCUCCUUAAAUUCCUCCAGAAGUUCCUUAAGGCAUUCCUCCGGGAGUUCCUUCAGGAAUGCCCCCGAAAGUUCCUCCAGGAAUUAUGGAAGCUCCUCAAAGGAUUUUUCCGCAAUUCAUCCGGAAGUUCCUCCAGAAGUUUCUCCAGAAAUUCCUUUGGAAGUUUCUUCAGGAAUUUCUCCGAAAAUUGCUCAAAGAAUUCCUCCGGAAGUUCCUCCAAGUUUUCCUCCGGAA
Armigeres subalbatus is the source of this 1447-nucleotide long non-coding RNA. RefSeq lists it as uncharacterized. The record is from RefSeq and is a predicted model, not a curated record. Lineage: Eukaryota; Metazoa; Arthropoda; Insecta; Diptera; Culicidae. The transcript has 3 exons.